This 164-nucleotide ribosomal RNA is filed under the name uncultured bacterium. RNAcentral's name for it is "partial 16S ribosomal RNA". It matches the Rfam family "Bacterial small subunit ribosomal RNA", at positions 355 to 511 of the family's 1533-position model. The record is from RNAcentral.
UAGGGAAUCUUCCACAAUGGACGAAAGUCUGAUGGAGCAACGCCACGUGAGUGAAGAAGGGUUUCGGCUCGUAAAGCUCUGUUGUUAAAGAAGAACGUGGGUAAGAGUAACUGUUUACCCAGUGACGGUAUUUAACCAGAAAGCCACGGCUAACUACGUGCCAG